Scylla paramamosain (green mud crab) is the source of this 2275-nucleotide long non-coding RNA. RefSeq lists it as uncharacterized. NCBI's taxonomy places the organism in Eukaryota, Metazoa, Arthropoda, Malacostraca, Decapoda, Portunidae. The transcript has 3 exons. The record is from RefSeq and is a predicted model, not a curated record.
CUGAUUUGAUUCAGGUGUGAAAGAUUACAAUUGGCUCGAACCCUCAUUUAAGUGACUUUGUUUCUGAUAGCUAAUCUGGAUAGAACAAGGAGUCACAGCCAGAAUAUCUUUGUGUCUUGUCACCACUGAUGUCAGAGGUCGCUUCUCACUAUAUGUCAUCAGCACUUGGAACUCUCUCCCUGAAGGAGUUGUGUCGGCUCAAUCCAUCCAAUCUUUUAAACGUUCACUUGAACAUUUCCUUGGUCAUCGUCUUUAUGAGUUAGUCAUUCUGUUUGUGCUGUUGUGUGCUGCAUCUGUAAUUAGCCGACCACCCUGAAAUACUCCUGCUGUAUUCUCGAAGUAUUGGUUGGAAAAUGCAACAGUGACUGGUGAGGGACCAAGAUCCUCAUCAUGGGUGGUGGAGGUCAUCUGAGCCUGACAAUGGAGCUGAGAGCUUUGAGGAAUGCAUGGUGUAUCUUGCCACAGGUGGUGUUGGAAGCCUUGAGCAGGAAGCGCUGCAUGGGGUAGUACAGGUCCUGUCGCAAGUCCUGCCCCAGCUGAUACUACAGAAAAAUUACUGGUGAGAAAGUGUAUGAAAUCUCACCAAUUGUCGUGCUGCAGAACUGUUCCACGCCACAUCCAGUUUUUGUUAAAAUUAUGCAUCUGGCAGCUCACUGGGGUUUAUAGGGGACUAAUAUUUAUAAUGUCUCAGUGCCACCUCAGGCAAUGAAGGAAAGGGUGAAUACCAUAUUUGACGGCAUAAGAGACGCACCUUUUUUCAUAAAAAUGGCUCAUAAAAUCACCUUGUGUCUUAUAUGUAAAUGUGAGGCCUCCCAUAGAUUUAAUUGUGAAAUUUUCUUUAUCUGUACACCCAAAGAUUUACACCACUGGAUAGGCAAGGGUGCUGUAUCAUAUUUUUCAACCAUAAUAUUAUGUAAGGAAAUAAUGAAAAUGAAAACACUCCCUAUUCAAGUGUGUUGUUGACAUUUCAGCAGCUGGGAUGCAUUAUUUGCCUCGAAUUCAUGAGUAGGCCACUAGCUCUGUUUUAUUACUGCAAUCAUGUAGGAUAUUUUUACUAUUGUGAUUGCUUGCUUUUUGUUCAGCUGUACUGCUAGCUUGCUUUAAAUAUUACAUGUUUAAAUACAUAAAAAAAACUUUUUUUCCUGAAUAUGCCCUGCUGAAAUGGGGGUGCAUCUUAUAUGCCAUCAAAUACUAUAUGUCAGACUGUCCUCCAUCCCCAUUCAUUGUAGGUACAUUUCCCUCCAACAUUCUUGCCUUGAAAACUCCAAAAUGCCAAGCAAAUGGCCUUAUACGAGUCAAAAGUUCGUUGGCUAGAAAAAAUUUGUGAGGAUAGGGCAAGGAAAGUCAGCUGCUUUUUAGUUAAUGAGGUAUAUAAACAGCCUUUCACCUGGUUGCACACUACCAUGUAAAUCAGUUCCUGGCCAUCCAAGCAAGACUACAGCUACCACCAACAAGCUGAUGCAUUGAAAAGUGAUUAAAAACCCAUGAAUCACAGCAUGUGGACUAAAAAAAACUCAUCCAUAUCUGCUCAGAGAUGUUGCUGUGAGGACUCUCCAAAACACUACUAGAAGGAUCUCGAGCUUCCCUCAGGUCACCAUCAAAGAAACCACCACUAACAAAGAGAAUGAGGAAAGCUCAUCUAGCUUUCACCCAAAAAAAAUGUGAAUACUGAACAGAACAAGAAUGGAGAAAAGUCAUGUGGAGCAAUGAGUCAGCUUUCUAAUGUGGAGCAAAGAGGAGAGGCAAACUUUGUGCCCCUGAUGGGGCCAGCAAGUAUGACAGUCGCUAUGUGUAAACAAGAGUGAAACACCCAAGAUCAAGUGAUGAUAUGGGCCUGCUUCAGUGGUUAGAUGGGAUGAGGGCAAUUCUUUGUACUACUAAAACAACAUAACCAUAAGUGACAUGUACAUUCAAGUGCUAGAAGAAUAUUUGUUAAAUUUUUUAGACCUUCACAACAUUGAAUUUUUUUGAUGGGACAAUGCACCAUGUCAUAAGUUUAGAAAAACCAUGAAGUGGCACGAGGAUAAUCACAUUAGAGUUGUAGAUAAGCCAGGGAAUUCACCAGACCUGAAUCCAAUAGAACAAAUUUGGGGGUAUAUGAAACAAAAACUAGAAACUAUGGACACAUCUUCAAUACCAAGCCAUAUCAGGCAUUUACAAAGCUUUGGAUUCAUUAUAUACCACUUGAAUGUUGCCAAAACUUGUCUGAUUCCAUGUGUAAAAAAGUGUACAGGUUCUCAAGUCCCAUGGAGGGCACAUCAAGUAUUAAAAGUGA